Molecule: long non-coding RNA, 382 nt
Organism: Piliocolobus tephrosceles (Ugandan red Colobus)
Lineage: Eukaryota; Metazoa; Chordata; Mammalia; Primates; Cercopithecidae
Exons: 4
Source: RefSeq, a predicted model, not a curated record
UUCUAGCUAAUUCAAGGGAGUGCCUGGUGGUUUGGAACAAUCAUUUUGAAAUUUCUGACAUCUAAAAUCUUAGGCGUUUCAGACCACAUUCGCCUGAGUGAUCUUAUAGCAGCCAAAAUCUUAAGUUAUACAGAUUUUGAUACUUUAAUGUACACCUGUGCUCCUGAAUUUGACUUCAUGGAAAAAGCGACUCUGCUGAGAUACACAAAGACAUUAUUGCUUCCAGUUGUUAUGGUGAUUACAUGUGUUAUCUUUAAAAAGUUCCCUGGUGACCACGUGGAAAGAGUCAAGAUAAAGGAAACAGGGAGGAAUGAGUAAAAUGUGAGCAGGUUUACUGCCCUGAAUCCUUUCGGCCCAUGCUGGCUUAGAAUGAAGAUUUUCU